CACUCUCUGUGUUCAAUCUCUCUCUGUGAGCUCAAGCUCGCUGUAGCUGCUUCUCACUCUCUGUGGUCAAUCUCUCUCUGUGAGAUCAAUCUCUCUGUAGCUCAUUCUCACUCUCUGUGUUCAUUCUCUCUCAAGCUCUCACUGUAUCUAUCUCUCUCUCUCUUUGUGUAUUGAUCUCUUUUGUUUUUGCAACUACAUGUCACUUUGUCCAUCCCACCUGACAGAACAUGGACACAAUGCUAUUGGGAUCAAGAAGAAGAGCUUCUCAGAAAUGAAUCAAGUCCAUGGAAUGGAUAUAGACAAAGAUAAUUCAAGGACUAGCAGAGGACUGGAGACCACAGUAGCGAUCCCGCUCUUGCCCUACCUCUUCAAUGAGGACCCGAGUGGCCUUAUGUCUGUGACAAGAUUUCACUGCUCUUUACUCCUUUACUGCACAUCGGUGGAAAUCCAUUUCACCAUGAGAGUGAAAUCCCGCUGGCCUUUGAUGGGGAGAACAUCUACGCCCUCGAGGACGUCCCCAUGGGACUUGGGGCUCUGCUACGGCUGUAUUUUUUAUUUAUUUUCCCUUAAAUUUCCCAAAAAUGUCAGAAAAACACUUGUUCUUAUGUUAGUGUUCUGGGGAUAAGAGAAGUUGGGGUGAAGUUACCAGGGCCGGGCAUAAAGAUGGCAAACUUCCUAACAUAACUAAGUGAAUAUGAUAUACACACUAAAGAUGAAAAAUCUGUAUUUAGCAUCAAGUCUACAAUAUUGCUAAUUCAUAUUUGUGGUGUCAGUAAAUAAACAAUUAUUUAAAUCAA
RNAcentral lists this long non-coding RNA (797 nucleotides) under Salmo salar (Atlantic salmon). RNAcentral describes it as "lncRNA (ENSSSAG00000119763.1)". Lineage: Eukaryota; Metazoa; Chordata; Actinopteri; Salmoniformes; Salmonidae. The record is from RNAcentral.